Molecule: transfer RNA, 71 nt
Filed under: Botryllus schlosseri
Lineage: Eukaryota; Metazoa; Chordata; Ascidiacea; Stolidobranchia; Styelidae
Description: transfer RNA-Trp
Source: RNAcentral
UAGGAUUUAGGUUAUAAAAACUAGUUGUCUUCAAAACAACAGAAACAUUAGUUCAGUGAAUGUAUUUCUAG